UGUCAUCAUCUUGUCGUAAAUCGUUGAAAAGACAUAUUUCUGACUCCAUUUCUCACACCACCCGCUGCUCCAACCAGUGCACGUGCCUGAGGGCCUGGCGUUGGCACCUGUGGCUCUACACCGUCAGACAGAGGAGAUGCAGGAGGUCAGAGUUCACACAGAGGAGAUGCAGGAGGUCAGAGGUCAGACAGAGGAGAUGCAGGAGGUCAGAGUUCAUUUUCCUUGCAGAGACUUUCCUUGCUCUCUCGUGAGCGCAUUUACAGCCUGGGCAUGCUCCUGCUACUUCUGCUUAGUCCCUAAGAACAAAUUGUUAUAUUAUAUUAUGCAUGUAACAUAAAUUCUUAAAAUAAGUCCAUUAUUUAAAAAGGAUAUAAUGUGAAAUCAAAACCUACAUGUACUAUUUAUGCAGUUCAAUCAUGUU
Molecule: long non-coding RNA, 421 nt
Organism: Clupea harengus (Atlantic herring)
Lineage: Eukaryota; Metazoa; Chordata; Actinopteri; Clupeiformes; Clupeidae
Source: Ensembl